GACAGAGGGGGCAAGCGUUGUUCGGAAUUACUGGGCGUAAAGCGCACGUAGGCGGACAUUUAAGUCAGGGGUGAAAUCCCGGAGCUCAACUCCGGAACUGCCUUUGAUACUGGGUGUCUUGAGUGUGGAAGAGGUGAGUGGAAUUCCGAGUGUAGAGGUGGAAUUCGUAGAUAUUAGGAAGAACACCAGUGGCGAAGGCGGCUCACUGGUCCGGUACUGACGCUGAGGUGCGAAAGCGUGGGGAGCAAACAGG
RNAcentral lists this ribosomal RNA (253 nucleotides) under uncultured bacterium. RNAcentral's name for it is "partial 16S ribosomal RNA". It matches the Rfam family "Bacterial small subunit ribosomal RNA", at positions 524 to 776 of the family's 1533-position model. The record is from RNAcentral.